AAAAAAUUCAUUACAAAGCGACACAACAUUUCUCCCAUUCUCUUUUCCCCAUCGACUUCGCCUCUCCACAAUUUCCCUUGGCGCUUCAGUUCUCACUCUCUCUCUCCACCUUCCACGGCCGACCACAGGCGCCUUAGCUCACUCUCGUCUCUCUUUGACUUCCACCGUCAACCGACGGCGCCUCAGACUUCACUAUUGUCUCUCUCUGCCUUCCACCGGCAUGCUCACUCUCAUCGCUCGCCUCCCAGGACACAAAUCAUUAAAGUACGUUGUCUAUGCACAUUUAUUUAUUGUUCAUUUGAGUUAUUUUUCCUGUUGUCAAUUUUGAGUUUGCAGAAAACUGGAGAGAAAUGCAUCUGAGGGAAAAACUAAGUAUGUUUUUCAAUUUUGUGUUUAUUUAAAAAUUUAAACAUGGGUUGUUGUUGAAUUUUAUUGUUUAAAGAUUUAUUUUGGAUGUUGGCACUGCCGCACUGAGAACAAUUGAACAAUGGUGUGUAGAUGGUUGGCGAGGGUAAUAAAGUCAUUUGCAAUUGCGUAGAUGGAGGCCAGGAAGUUCAGUACCCAAAAACUGAGACCAAAGCUUUACUAAUGGGCAUUUUGGUUGAAGGUUGGUAGUUAAAUGAUAAAUAAUUCAAUUUGAUAGUAUAAUCCAAUUAGUUUGUAGCUUAUAAUUCACUCGGAUUUUUAUUUCAUAAAUCUAAAAAUGAUGUUUAUUUGAUUUCUAGAAGAACUUAUAGAAUAUGAGCUAAUAAAUCCUAGCUUUAGCAAAAAAGAUGAGAUGAUAAGAUAUGAGGUUCCAAGUCCCACUAAUUGAUGCAAUUGGAUAUGUUGACCUGGUCAACUGGGCGAGAUUGGAAAAUAAUGUCACUUAACGAGCCGCUAUGCUAAACUCUUGGACUAAAGGUCUGUAGCAUACCAAUUUUAGGGUCAAAUUCUAUCAUUUAAGCUAUCAAAAGAACAAUAAAUAAAUGUGCAUAUAGAUGCGUACAUAUAACCCUCAUUUACGGCGUAAACGUGUUGUGUAGUACAUUGUAACCAGAAGUGUGGUUUGUGACCUUUAUGCCUGUAGGGUAUCUUCAAAUUGUGCUUAUACAACUGGAAGAUGAAAUUAGCAAUAUUGUAUAUCACAAUUGUGAUUAUUAUUAUGACAUAAUAUAUUCAUGUUAGAAUUUUUUGAAAGUGUUAUGUAGUCUAUUAUGACUAGAACAUUAGGUCACAAUUAUGAUUUUGUAUAUGGCCUGUAACAUUCUUCGUUCUCUGUACUUGUUUGAUAUAUCUACUGUUUAUUUGUGAUGUUGUAAACAUAUGCAAUGCACGUCGUAAAAAAUACAUUUUGUUGUAGUGCUUCUAUUGUCACUAAAAAACAAAUAUAAGAAUUUCAUGUCACACUUUGCACUAUCCGUACUUCUCUAUGUGGAACCUUAUAUUGCAUAUGUUUUUUUUCAUUGUACCUAAUGAUUUUAUUUCAGAGCAGCCCAACUGCAUUAUAAUAUUACUAAAAAUAUUCGCUUUACCAUAUAUUAUAGCAUCUCAUUUUUAUCUUGCUUCCCUACUAAGUUACAUUGAUUUCAGUUCACAUAGGUCAUUGGUUUGUAUUUCAGCACAUAGAAUCCAUAAUUAGAACUUGAAUACCAAAUAUCGCAUCAUUAAUUAACAAAAGCAUUGGUGUACGUGAAUCUGAGAUGGAUCACCUUGGAAAGCCUAUUGUCGUUGAUGUAGAGGUGAGCUUGAAAUUUUAAUUGGGUUUUCUGAAAUGAAGUCUAUAAAUUUUUUUUGAGAGCUGAUAUAUGGAUUUGAGGCUCGUUUAUACACUAUAUUGAAAUUAUGUUGUGCUUUUGACCGAAUAUUCAACGAACAUUUGGUGCGAGAGUAUGAAAAAAUAUUGCUUACUGUACCGCAAAUUGUGCAUUUGGAAAUAUUUUAACGCAUUAUUAAACAUCUGGUGUGUGAUGUGCUUUGAGUUUUGACGUUGUAGAUUUUACUUCUCUUCGAUACAUAUGACUAUUGCUCAAUUAUUUCUUGUUUCCCUUUUUCCUAUAGUUCUGACAUGCGAUGGUUUACUUGAUAUUUGUACCUUUUAUUACCAUACUACACUACCAAAUCUGUAAGAGACCUGGUAGUGUAGCCCCUCUCACAGUUCGGGGUGGGGGUGGGUUUUUUGGGGUAUUUUUUUAAUCAUGGGCCCGCGUAGAUGAGAGAAAAUGCGAGAGGAGGCCUCUACCAGACCUUUUACAGGUCUGGUAGAGUAGCAUUACCCAUUUGAGAAAGGUCCUUUGAGUGUAUGUGGUUUUGUAGAGGUGUCUUUCUGACAAACAUUGUUAAGGCAAGAAUUUACUAAUAACAUUUUAUACAUCCUUAGUAGUUAAUCCAAAAUAGGAUCCAAUCUUUUACUCUUUAUAAUAUGGGAUUUUUUUAUUUUUUUUUAAUGCAAAAUCACCUGUCUUUAUCAAUUUUAACUUUGUUCAAAUUCUCCAACUUUAAACUAAAUUAGAAUUGGUCUUAUCUUUCACUAA
RNAcentral lists this long non-coding RNA (2513 nucleotides) under Olea europaea subsp. europaea. The record is from RNAcentral. Lineage: Eukaryota; Viridiplantae; Streptophyta; Magnoliopsida; Lamiales; Oleaceae.